UUGGAGAUGGCUCAGUGAUAGAGCACAUGUUUUGCAUGUGAAAGGUUUCAGGUUCAAUCCCUGUCAUCUCCAGG
Non-coding RNA from Podarcis lilfordi (Lilford's wall lizard), 74 nucleotides. The record is from the annotation of a GenBank genome assembly. Lineage: Eukaryota; Metazoa; Chordata; Lepidosauria; Squamata; Lacertidae.